Molecule: ribosomal RNA, 420 nt
Filed under: uncultured bacterium
Lineage: Bacteria
Description: bacterial SSU rRNA
Rfam family: Bacterial small subunit ribosomal RNA
Source: RNAcentral
UGGGGAAUAUUGGACAAUGGGCGAAAGCCUGAUCCAGCAAUGCCGCGUGGAGGAUGAAGGUCCUCUGGAUUGUAAACUUCUUUUAUCUGGGAAGAAACCCAACUUUUCUAAGGUGGUUGACGGUACCAGAUGAAUAAGCACCGGCUAACUCCGUGCCAGCAGCCGCGGUAAUACGGAGGGUGCAAGCGUUAUCCGGAUUCACUGGGUUUAAAGGGUGCGUAGGUGGGUUGGUAAGUCCGUGGUGAAAUCUCCGAGCUUAACUCGGAAACUGCCGUGGAUACUAUCAAUCUUGAAUAUCGUGGAGGUAAGCGGAAUAUGUCAUGUAGCGGUGAAAUGCUUAGAUAUGACAUAGAACACCGAUAGCGGAGGCAGCUUGCUACACGAUCAUUGACACUGAGGCACGAAAGCGUGGGGAGCAAA